RNAcentral lists this ribosomal RNA (164 nucleotides) under Lathyrus nissolia. RNAcentral's name for it is "5.8S ribosomal RNA". The stretch from base 1 to 139 matches the Rfam family "5.8S ribosomal RNA", at positions 18 to 154 of the family's 154-position model. From Rfam's summary of the family: 5.8S ribosomal RNA (5.8S rRNA) is a component of the large subunit of the eukaryotic ribosome. Lineage: Eukaryota; Viridiplantae; Streptophyta; Magnoliopsida; Fabales; Fabaceae. The record is from RNAcentral.
AUCUAGGCUCUUGCAUCGAUGAAGAACGUAGCGAAAUGCGAUACUUGGUGUGAAUUGCAGAAUCCCGUGAACCAUCGAGUCUUUGAACGCAAGUUGCGCCCGAUGCCAUUAGGUUGAGGGCACGUCUGCCUGCGUGUCACAUAUCGAAACCUCCUGCCAAUUUC